AAUAGAUACCCGGGUAGUCCACGCCGUAAACGAUGAGUGCUAAGUGUUAGAGGGUUUCCGCCCUUUAGUGCUGAAGUUAACGCAUUAAGCACUCCGCCUGGGGAGUACGGCCGCAAGGCUGAAACUCAAAGGAAUUGACGGGGGCCCGCACAAGCGGUGGAGCAUGUGGUUUAAUUCGAAGCAACGCGAAGAACCUUACCAGGUCUUGACAUCCUCUGACAACCCUAGAGAUAGGGCUUCCCCUUCGGGGGCAGAGUGGCAGGUGGUGCAUGGUUGUCGUCAGCUCGUGUCGUGAGAUGUUGGGUUAAGUCCCGCAACGAGCGCAACCCUUGAUCUUAGUUGCCAUCAUUCAGUUGGGCACUCUAAGGUGACUGCCGGUGACAAACCGGAGGAAGGUGGGGAUGACGUCAAAUCAUCAUGCCCCUUAUGACCUGGGCUACACACGUGCUACAAUGGACGGUACAAAGAGUCGCGAGACCGCGAGGUGGAGCUAAUCUCAUAAAACCGUUCUCAGUUCGGAUUGUAGGCUGCAACUCG
RNAcentral lists this ribosomal RNA (537 nucleotides) under uncultured bacterium. RNAcentral's name for it is "bacterial SSU rRNA". It matches the Rfam family "Bacterial small subunit ribosomal RNA", at positions 777 to 1314 of the family's 1533-position model. The record is from RNAcentral.